Molecule: ribosomal RNA, 468 nt
Filed under: uncultured bacterium
Lineage: Bacteria
Description: partial 16S ribosomal RNA
Rfam family: Bacterial small subunit ribosomal RNA
Source: RNAcentral
GACGAACGCUGGCGGCGUGCUUAACACAUGCAAGUCGAACGGAAAGGCCCUGCUUUUGUGGGGUGCUCGAGUGGCGAGCUGGUGAGUAACCCGUGAGUAACCUGCCCUUGACUUUGGGAUAACUUCAGUAAACUGGGGCUAAUACCGGAUAGGAGCUCCUGCUGCAUGGUGGGGGUUGGAAAGUUUCGGCGGUUGGGGAUGGACUCGCGGCUUAUCAGCUUGUUGGUGGGGUAGUGGCUUACCAAGGCGUUGACGGGUAGCCGGCCUGAGAGGGUGACCGGCCACAUUGGGACUGAGAUACGGCCCAGACUCCUACGGGAGGCAGCAGUGGGGAAUAUUGCACAAUGGGCGGAAGCCUGAUGCAGCAACGCCGCGUGCGGGAUGACGGCCUUCGGGUUGUAAACCGCUUUCGCCUGUGACGAAGCGUGAGUGACGGUAAUGGGUAAAGAAGCACCGGCUAACUACGUG